Molecule: long non-coding RNA, 142 nt
Organism: Phyllostomus discolor (pale spear-nosed bat)
Lineage: Eukaryota; Metazoa; Chordata; Mammalia; Chiroptera; Phyllostomidae
Exons: 2
Source: RefSeq, a predicted model, not a curated record
UCCGGUUCUGAUAUGAACAGGGACAACCUUCCCGCAGGACAGUUGGACAGUACUGAUGAAAAACAAUCUUUAAAAUAUGCAUUGAUGUUGUAAAUAAGUUGUGACACAGCUAUUCAUUUAUAGAAAUAUUCUAAGGAAACAA